GAUGAACGCUGGCGGCGUGCCUAAUACAUGCAAGUCGAGCGAACAGAUGAGGAGCUUGCUCCUCUGACGUUAGCGGCGGACGGGUGAGUAACACGUGGAUAACCUACCUAUAAGACUGGGAUAACUUCGGGAAACCGGAGCUAAUACCGGAUAAUAUUUUGAACCGCAUGGUUCAAUAGUGAAAGACGGUUUUGCUGUCACUUAUAGAUUGAUCCGCGCCGCAUUAGCUAGUUGGUAAGGUAACGGCUUACCAAGGCAACGAUGCGUAGCCUACCUGAGAGGGUGAACGGCCACACUGGAACUGAGACACGGUCCAGACUCCUACGGGAGGCAGCAGUAGGGAAUCUUCCGCAAUGGGCGAAAGCCUGACGGAGCAACGCCGCGUGAGUGAUGAAGGUCUUCGGAUCGUAAAACUCUGUUAUUAGGGAAGAACAAAUGUGUAAGUAACUAUGCACGUCUUGACGGUACCUAAUCAGAAAGCCACGGCUAACUACGUG
RNAcentral lists this ribosomal RNA (497 nucleotides) under uncultured bacterium. RNAcentral's name for it is "partial 16S ribosomal RNA". It matches the Rfam family "Bacterial small subunit ribosomal RNA", at positions 28 to 507 of the family's 1533-position model. The record is from RNAcentral.